CAGGAAGCAGCUUGCUGUUUCGCUGACGAGUGGCGGACGGGUGAGUAAUGUCUGGGAAACUGCCUGAUGGAGGGGGAUAACUACUGGAAACGGUAGCUAAUACCGCAUAACGUCGCAAGACCAAAGAGGGGGACCUUCGGGCCUCUUGCCAUCGGAUGUGCCCAGAUGGGAUUAGCUAGUAGGUGGGGUAACGGCUCACCUAGGCGACGAUCCCUAGCUGGUCUGAGAGGAUGACCAGCCACACUGGAACUGAGACACGGUCCAGACUCCUACGGGAGGCAGCAGUGGGGAAUAUUGCACAAUGGGCGCAAGCCUGAUGCAGCCAUGCCGCGUGUAUGAAGAAGGCCUUCGGGUUGUAAAGUACUUUCAGCGGGGAGGAAGGGAGUAAAGUUAAUACCUUUGCUCAUUGACGUUACCCGCAGAAGAAGCACCGGCUAACUCCGUGCCAGCAGCCGCGGUAAUACGGAGGGUGCAAGCGUUAAUCGGAAUUACUGGGCGUAAAGCGCACGCAGGCGGUUUGUUAAUUCAGAUGUGAAAUCCCCGGGCUCAACCUGGGAACUGCAUCUGAUACUGGCAAGUUUGAGUCUCGUA
RNAcentral lists this ribosomal RNA (591 nucleotides) under Escherichia coli. RNAcentral describes it as "bacterial SSU rRNA". It matches the Rfam family "Bacterial small subunit ribosomal RNA", at positions 69 to 653 of the family's 1533-position model. Lineage: Bacteria; Pseudomonadati; Pseudomonadota; Gammaproteobacteria; Enterobacterales; Enterobacteriaceae. The record is from RNAcentral.